AGUCGAACGAUAUAGUGGCAGACGGGUGAGUAACGCGUGGGAACGUACCUUUCACUACGGAAUAGCUCUUGGAAACGAGUGGUAAUACCGUAUACGCCCUUCGGGGGAAAGAUUUAUCGGUGAAAGAUCGGCCCGCGUUAGAUUAGCUAGUUGGUAGGGUAAUGGCCUACCAAGGCGACGAUCUAUAGCUGGUCUGAGAGGAUGAUCAGCCACACUGGGACUGAGACACGGCCCAGACUCCUACGGGAGGCAGCAGUGGGGAAUCUUGCACAAUGGGCGAAAGCCUGAUGCAGCCAUGCCGCGUGAAUGAUGAAGGCCUUAGGGUUGUAAAAUUCUUUCGCUAGGGAUGAUAAUGACAGUACCUAGUAAAGAAGCCCCGGCUAACUUCGUGCCAGCAGCCGCGGUAAUACGAAGGGGGCUAGCGUUGUUCGGAAUUACUGGGCGUAAAGCGCACGUAGGCGGACUUUUAAGUCAGAUGUGAAAUCCCGGGGCUCAAC
Molecule: ribosomal RNA, 497 nt
Filed under: Hyphomonas sp. Ar-94
Lineage: Bacteria; Pseudomonadati; Pseudomonadota; Alphaproteobacteria; Hyphomonadales; Hyphomonadaceae
Description: bacterial SSU rRNA
Rfam family: Bacterial small subunit ribosomal RNA
Source: RNAcentral